GAUGAACGCUGGCGGCGUGCCUAAUACAUGCCAGUCGAACGGACAGACGAGGAGCUUGCUGCUCUGAUGUUAGCGGCAGACGGGUGAGUAACACGUGGAUAACCUACCUAUAAUACUGGGAUAACUUCGGAAAACCGGAGCUAAUCCCGGAUAAUAUUUUGAACCACAUUGUGCAAAAGAAAAAGACGGUCUUUCUGUCACGUCUAGAUGGAUCCCCGCUGUAUUAGCUAGUUGUGGAGGUAACGGCUUACCACGGCAACGAGUCAUAGACGACCUACGAGGCUGAUAGGCCACAUUGGAACUGAGCCACGGACAAGAGGACUAAGGGAGGCAGCAGUAGGGAACCGUCCGCAAUGGGCGAAAGCAUGACGGAGCAACGCCGCGUGAGUGACGACGGUCCUCGGAUCGUAAAAAUCUGUUAUUAGGGAAGAACAUAUGUGUACGUAGCUGUGCACAUCUUGACGGUACUUAAUCAGAAAGCACCGGCUAACUACGUG
Molecule: ribosomal RNA, 497 nt
Filed under: uncultured bacterium
Lineage: Bacteria
Description: partial 16S ribosomal RNA
Rfam family: Bacterial small subunit ribosomal RNA
Source: RNAcentral